GUCGGUGUAGUUUUAAAAAAAACAUUAGAUUGUGAUUCUAAAAACAGAAGUUAAAAUCUUCUCACCCACC
RNAcentral lists this transfer RNA (70 nucleotides) under Trimma sp. ROM-80442. Its description in RNAcentral is "tRNA-His". It matches the Rfam family "tRNA". From Rfam's summary of the family: Transfer RNA (tRNA) molecules are approximately 80 nucleotides in length. Their secondary structure includes four short double-helical elements and three loops (D, anti-codon, and T loops). Lineage: Eukaryota; Metazoa; Chordata; Actinopteri; Gobiiformes; Gobiidae. The record is from RNAcentral.